AUUGAACGCUGGCGGUAGGCCUAACACAUGCAAGUCGAACGGCAGCACAGGAGAGCUUGCUCUCUGGGUGGCGAGUGGCGGACGGGGGAGGAAUACAUCGGAAUCUACUCUGUCGUGGGGGAUAACGUAGGGAAACUUACGCUAAUACCGCAUACGACCUACGGGUGAAAGCAGGGGACCUUCGGGCCUUGCGCAAUUGAAUGAGCCGAUGUCGGAUUAGCUAGUUGGCGGGGUAAAGGCCCACCAAGGCGACGAUCCGUAGCUGGUCUGAGAGGAUGAUCAGCCACACUGGAACUGAGACACGGUCCAGACUCCUACGGGAGGCAGCAGUGGGGAAUAUUGGACAAUGGGCGCAAGCCUGAUCCAGCCAUACCGCGUGGGUGAAGAAGGCCUUCGGGUUGUAAAGCCCUUUUGUUGGGAAAGAAAUCCAGCUGGCUAAUACCCGGUUGGGAUGACGGUACCCAAAGAAUAAGCACCGGCUAACUUCGUGCCAGCAGCCGCAGUAA
RNAcentral lists this ribosomal RNA (506 nucleotides) under uncultured bacterium. RNAcentral's name for it is "partial 16S ribosomal RNA". It matches the Rfam family "Bacterial small subunit ribosomal RNA", at positions 30 to 523 of the family's 1533-position model. The record is from RNAcentral.